This 499-nucleotide ribosomal RNA is filed under the name uncultured bacterium. RNAcentral's name for it is "partial 16S ribosomal RNA". It matches the Rfam family "Bacterial small subunit ribosomal RNA", at positions 28 to 506 of the family's 1533-position model. The record is from RNAcentral.
GACGAACGCUGGCGGCGUGCUUAACACAUGCAAGUCGAACGGGCCUGUCUUCUUUUUUGGGGGGUGGGUUGAGUGGCGAACGGGUGAGUAUCACGUGAGUAACCUGCCCUUCGGUCCUGGAUAACCGCUUGAAAGGGCGGCUAAUACGGGGUGGUCCGGUUGGUCCGCAUGGGCUGGUCGGGAUAGAUUCACUGUUUUUGGUGUUUCGGCGGGGGAUGGGCUCGCGGCCUUUCAGCUUGUUGGUGGGGUGAUGGCCUACCAAGGCGGUGACGGGUAGCCGGCCUGGGGGGGUGGGCGGCCGCACUGGGACGGAGAUACGGCCCAGACUCCUGCGGGAGGCAGCAGUGGGGGGUAUGGCACAAUGGGCGGAAGCCUGAUGCAGCGACGUCGCGUGAGGGAUGGAGGCCUUCGGGUUGUGAACCUCUGUUUCCGGUGGUGAAGGCCCUGUCCGUGUGGUGGGGUUGACGGUAGCCGGGGAUGAAGCGCCGGCUAACUACGU